This 505-nucleotide ribosomal RNA is filed under the name uncultured bacterium. RNAcentral describes it as "bacterial SSU rRNA". It matches the Rfam family "Bacterial small subunit ribosomal RNA", at positions 19 to 518 of the family's 1533-position model. The record is from RNAcentral.
CUGGCUCAGGAUGAACGCUAGCGGCAGGCUUAACACAUGCAAGUCGAGGGGCAGCGCUGAGUAGCAAUACUCUGGCGGCGACCGGCGAAAGGGUGAGUAACGCGUGAGCAACAUGCCCGGUAGUGGAGGAUAGUCGAUGGAAACGUCGUGUAAUACUCCGUAACAUACGGGACCGCAUGAUUCUGUAUUAAUAGAUUUAUUGCUAUCGGAUUGGCUCGCGUACCAUUAGCUAGUUGGCGGGGUAACGGCCCACCAAGGCGACGAUGGUUAGGGGUUCUGAGAGGAAGGUCCCCCACAUUGGAACUGAGACACGGUCCAGACUCCUACGGGAGGCAGCAGUGAGGAAUAUUGGACAAUGGCCGGAAGGCUGAUCCAGCCAUGCCGCGUGCGGGAAGACGGCCCUAUGGGUUGUAAACCGCUUUUGUUGGGGAGCAAUAAGGGUCACGUGUGGCCUGAUGAGAGUACCCAGCGAAUAAGCAUCGGCUAACUCCGUGCCAGCCGCCGC